AUUGAACGCUGGCGGCAGGCUUAACACAUGCAAGUCGAACGGUAGCAGGAAAGUACUUGUACUUUUGCUGACGAGUGGCGGACGGGUGAGUAAUGCUUGGGAAUCUGGCUUAUGGAGGGGGAUAACUACUGGAAACGGUAGCUAAUACCGCGUAAUAUCGGAAGAUUAAAGGGUGGGACCAUUUGGCCACCUGCCAUAAGAUGAGCCCAAGUGGGAUUAGGUAGUUGGUGGGGUAAGGGCCUACCAAGCCUUCGAUCUCUAGCUGGUCUGAGAGGAUGACCAGCCACACUGGAACUGAGACACGGUCCAGACUCCUACGGGAGGCAGCAGUGGGGAAUAUUGCACAAUGGGGGGAACCCUGAUGCAGCCAUGCCGCGUGAAUGAAGAAGGCCUUCGGGUUGUAAAGUUCUUUCGGUGAUGAGGAAGGUGUUUUGUUUAAUAGACAAAGCAAUUGACGUUAGUCACAGAAGAAGCACCGGCUAACUCCGUGCCAGCAGCCGCGGUAAUACGGAGGGUGCGAGCGUUAAUCGGAAUAACUGGGCGUAAAGGGCACGCAGGCGGAUUUUUAAGUGAGAUGUGAAAGCCCCGAGCUUAACUUGGGAAUUGCAUUUCAGACUGGAAGUCUAGAGUAUUUUAGGGAGGGGUAGAAUUCCACGUGUAGCGGUGAAAUGCGUAGAGAUGUGGAGGAAUACCGAAGGCGAAGGCAGCCCCUUGGGAAUGUACUGACGCUCAUGUGCGAAAGCGUGGGGAGCAAACAGGAUUAGAUACCCUGGUAGUCCACGCUGUAAACGCUGUCGAUUUGGGGAUUGGGCUUUAAGCUUGGUGCCCGUAGCUAACGUGAUAAAUCGACCGCCUGGGGAGUACGGCCGCAAGGUUAAAACUCAAAUGAAUUGACGGGGGCCCGCACAAGCGGUGGAGCAUGUGGUUUAAUUCGAUGCAACGCGAAGAACCUUACCUACUCUUGACAUCCUCAGAAUCCGAUAGAGAUAUUGGAGUGCCUUUGGGAACUGAGAGACAGGUGCUGCAUGGCUGUCGUCAGCUCGUGUUGUGAAAUGUUGGGUUAAGUCCCGCAACGAGCGC
This 1080-nucleotide ribosomal RNA is filed under the name Actinobacillus capsulatus. RNAcentral's name for it is "bacterial SSU rRNA". It matches the Rfam family "Bacterial small subunit ribosomal RNA", at positions 28 to 1099 of the family's 1533-position model. The record is from RNAcentral. Lineage: Bacteria; Pseudomonadati; Pseudomonadota; Gammaproteobacteria; Pasteurellales; Pasteurellaceae.